Nicotiana tabacum (common tobacco) is the source of this 878-nucleotide non-coding RNA. The record is from RefSeq and is a predicted model, not a curated record. Lineage: Eukaryota; Viridiplantae; Streptophyta; Magnoliopsida; Solanales; Solanaceae.
UUUUAGUGGCAAUAAAAAGGAAUUGCCACAAUAAAAAGUACUCCAGUAUUAUUUUUAUCCUUCCCUCCAAAUAUUUAGACUAAAAUAACAUAUUCCCUCUAAAUGUUUAGAAUAAAAUAACAUAUUCCCUCCUGUUCCUUCCGCCUAAGUCGGGGAAAUUUAGGAAAAUAUUUCAGAAAUAUACAAAUCUCUCAUCCCCUGUAAUUCUUAUCGUUGCUGCACUACCGCCGAACUUCUGUCUCAUGGCAGCGCCACCAUCCCCAGAAGAAACAAUGUGAACCAGAGGUGGCAAGUGAAUGGUUAUUGAAGAACAAUGUGAUGAUGAAGGUGUGCAACCUUAUAUUGAACAACUGAUGGAUGGUCAGAACUACUCUCAAGCCCAAACACAUGAUGGCCAAUCUAAUGAUUUUAAUAAUUCGGCUGACACCGAGAUUCAACAAAAUGAUGAUUCAGGGAAGACAAUUGAUGUGCAAAUCAAUAGUCGUAACCAAUUCAUUGGGAAAGAGGGUCGAAAGCUGGCUAGCUUUCUAGGGAUUGUCGCUAGAACUCCAGAACUAACUCCAUUACAAUGUCCGUGAUACCAACAGUGGUCAUGAAUGAGUACCACAAGUGCAACAGAAUCAUAGCAUUUGUGAAAAUACUCCAUCUUCUUAUGUUGUAUUGGUUGAAGGUGUAGAAGAGCAACAGUCAAAUACGGGUUAUUAAUGAGGUUAUACCGAUAAAGUUUGAAAAUUUAGUAGGAGAAGGAUUUCAAUAGGAUGAAGAGUUGCAGAAAUAGUUUGAGGGCUAUGCAUGUACUAUUUUAUUAUUGUUGGUAUUCGACAUGAUUAAUUACAAUGACAUUACUUGUUUAGUUUAAACAAUAUAAUUAUUUUUAA